AUCUUGGUUUAUGUUUUGGAGUUAAAUAUAAAUUGAUGUCCUGUCUGUGGUUGAAUAUUAGAACUUGAACCGCAAACGGAUCUGAAAAGGAAAAGUAGUGUUUCCAUGCUAGAAGAUACAAAGCCAAAGACUCAUACGAACUUCGACAUCCCCAUCAAAGCCUUAGGA
Molecule: small RNA, 168 nt
Filed under: Arabidopsis thaliana (thale cress)
Lineage: Eukaryota; Viridiplantae; Streptophyta; Magnoliopsida; Brassicales; Brassicaceae
Description: ATSL162940
Source: RNAcentral